GUCUGGGGAAUGGCUCGGCUCGGGCGCCGAUGAAGGACGUGCCAAGCCGCGAUAGUGCGUCGGGUAGGCGCAAGGAACCUGUGAUCCGACGAUGUCCGAAUGCGACUUCGUGGCCGCAAGGCCGUUCCGUGAGGAACGGGAACCCCCGGGAUCGAAGCAUCCUAGUACGGGGAGGAAAAGGAAUCAAUCGAGAUGCCCUCAGUAAAGGCGAUCGAAGAGGGCGUUGGGCAAACCGAAUCCCGCGCCGAAAGGCGCUGGAGGUGUGGUGUUCGGACUCCGGCACACCUUCCCUCGUUAACGCGAUACUCCGGUGGAAUGCCGAGGCCAAAGAGGGUGACAGCCCCGUAGCGGUACGCGAGGAAGGUGAUUCGGGGUCUCCCGAGUAGCGCGGGUCGGAUAUCUCGCGCGAAUCUGGGUGGCAUUGACAUCCAACCCGAAAUACGUCCCGAGACCGAUAGCGCAGUAGUAGCGUGAGUGAAAGCUGAAAAGUGCCCUUGACGGGAGGUUAAAAGUGCCUGAAACCAGACAGUUACAGACCGAUACGGCGUGGAAGCGACGAAGUCCGAAAGGAUGGAGCAGCGUCGUGUCGUCCGUUUUGAAAAACGGGCCAGGGAGUUCUGAUCCACGGCGAGGUUAACCACGGAAGUGGGAAGCCGUAGCGAAAGCGAUGAGCGCGCAACCCCGCAAGGGGCGAGGCGCAUCGUGUGCUCGCGAGGAGUCGUGGGUGCGAGACCCGAAGCCGGUCGAUCUAUGCCUGGGCCGGUCGAAGCCUACCGAAAGGUGGGUGGAGGACCUAACCGGUAUUGAUGUGCAAAUCAUUCGGAUGACCUGGGCAUAGGGGUGAAAGGCCAAUCUAGGCCGGGAAUAGCUGGUUCCCCUCGAAACCAGUCGCAGCUGGACCUCGGACGAGGCAGACGGUGGGGUAGAGCGACCGAUUGGGCGCUUAGGCGGAGAAAUCCGUCGGUGUCCUGUCAAACUCCAAACCUGCCGCCGCCGUAGACUCCGGGAGUCGGGCAUCUGGGGUAAGCUUGGUGUCCGUAAGGGUAAGAGCCCAGCCUGCGGUUAAGGUCCCCAAGUGUCGACUAAGUGCAACCGAAGGGAGUUCGCGGUCUCAGACAGCUGGGAUGUGGGCUUAGAAGCAGCCAUCAUUCAAAGAUAGCGUAACAGCUCACCAGCCGAGAUCGUGGGCCCCGAAAAGGGACGGGGCUAAGUCGAUCACCGAUACCGCAGAGCACCGAAAGGUGAUCUUGUAGAGGGGCGCCGUGCGCGGGUGGAAGUCGGGCCGUGAGGUCCGGUGGACCGCGUUCGAACGUGAAUCCUGGGAGGAGUAGCAGCAAAGAGCGGCGAGAAUCCGCUCCGCCGAAAGGGCCAGGGUUCCUCGGCAAUGUUCGUCAGCCGAGGGUUAGUCGGUCCUAAGUGUUCCCUUAACCGAGGAACGCGAAAGGGAAGCAGGUUAAUAUUCCUGCACCGUGCGGACCCCUGCUUGGCACCUGACGCAUCCGGGUACGCUGAGCGUUUAUAUGCCAAUCCGCUCAAGCGCCGAAACCCGCGGAGAGCCGUAAUGGCGAGAAGUGGGUGAAUGCGCGAGUAGGAGCAAUCUUCAGCGGAUCCCGGGUGCCCGUGAAAAGGGUGUCAAGGCCAGUCCGUGCGUCCGUACCAAGAACUGACACAGGUGCCCCUGGGUGAGAAGCCCAAGGCGUGUCGGCGUUAAUCCAGGCGAGGGAAUUCGGCAAAUUAGCCCCGUAACUUAGGGAUAAGGGGUGCCAGCCACGGUGGUGGCUGGUCUCAGUGACAAGGGAGCUCCGACUGUUUACUAAAAACAUAUCUCGCCGCAAGUCCGAAAGGAUUUGUAUGGCGGGUGAAGCCUGCCCAGUGCCGGUAUCUGAAAACCCGGUUCAACGGGACGAAGGACCGGUAAACGGCGGGGGUAACUAUGACCCUCUUAAGGUAGCGUAAUACCUUGUCGCUUAAUUGGCGACUUGCAUGAAGGCCCAACGAGAGCUCUACUGUCCCCGCCUGGAAGCCGGUGAAACUGACUUACUGGCGCACAGUCCAGUACCGUCCACCUGAAAGCGAAGACCCCGUGGAGCUUUACUGCAGCCUGUCGCUGCCGUAUGAGCCUGAUUGUGUAGCGUAGGCGGGACUCGUUACCAGGGCCGACCGCUAGGCCGGUUCCGAGAGGCCGAUGAAACACCGCCCUAUUGGGCUCGUACGGCUAACACGUACGCGUGGAAAACGGUAGGUGGGCAGUUUGGGUGGGGCGCCACGCCCUCAAAAAGGUAACAAGGGCGCCCAAAGGUGAGCUUAGGAGGGUCAGAAAUCCUCCGAUAACUGUAAGGGGAAAAGCUCGCCUGACGUGGACUUGCCCAACGAGAGUCCACGACACGAAAGUGGGGCCUAGCGAACCAAUGAGCCUCAUUAAUGGGGGCCAUUGAUGUCAGAAAAGUUACCCCGGGGAUAACUGAGUUGUCUUCAGCUAGAGUUCCUAUCGACCUGAAGGCUUGCUACUUCGACGUCGGCUCUUCCUAUCCUGGUGGUGCAUGAGCUGCCAAGGGUGGGGUUGUUCGCCCAUUAAAAGGGAUCGUGAGCUGGGUUUAGACCGUCGUGAGACAGGUUUGUUGCUUUUUGGUGGACGCGUUUUGGUGCCUGAGGGGAAGGAUCCUUAAGUACGAGAGGAACGGGGAUUCGGCGCCUCUAGUGUAUCGGUUGUCUGGCAAGGCAUCGCCGAGCAGCCACGCGCUACGUGGAGAAGGGCUGAAAGCAUCUAAGCCCGAAACCACCCUCAAGACGAGGCACCUUACCGCCGUCCUAGUCGAGGACGUUGAUAGGGCGGGGGUGUACGGCGG
Molecule: ribosomal RNA, 2846 nt
Filed under: Methanobacteriota archaeon
Lineage: Archaea; Methanobacteriati; Methanobacteriota
Description: Euryarchaeota archaeon 23S ribosomal RNA
Rfam family: Archaeal large subunit ribosomal RNA
Source: RNAcentral